RNAcentral lists this ribosomal RNA (495 nucleotides) under uncultured bacterium. RNAcentral's name for it is "partial 16S ribosomal RNA". It matches the Rfam family "Bacterial small subunit ribosomal RNA", at positions 28 to 507 of the family's 1533-position model. The record is from RNAcentral.
GACGAACGCUGGCGGCGUGCCUAAUACAUGCAAGUAGAACGCUGAAGGAGGAGCUUGCUUCUCUGGAUGAGUUGCGAACGGGUGAGUAACGCGUAGGUAACCUGCCUGGUAGCGGGGGAUAACUAUUGGAAACGAUAGCUAAUACCGCAUAAGAGUAGAUGUUGCAUGACAUUGGCUUAAAAGGUGCAAUUGCAUCACUACCAGAUGGACCUGCGUUGUAUUAGCUAGUUGGUGGGGUAACGGCUCACCAAGGCGACGAUACAUAGCCGACCUGAGAGGGUGAUCGGCCACACUGGGACUGAGACACGGCCCAGACUCCUACGGGAGGCAGCAGUAGGGAAUCUUCGGCAAUGGACGGAAGUCUGACCGAGCAACGCCGCGUGAGUGAAGAAGGUUUUCGGAUCGUAAAGCUCUGUUGUAAGAGAAGAACGAGUGUGAGAGUGGAAAGUUCACACUGUGACGGUAUCUUACCAGAAAGGGACGGCUAACUACGUG